UAGGGAAUCUUCGGCAAUGGGGGGAACCCUGACCGAGCAACGCCGCGCGAGUGAAGAAGGUUUUCGGAUCGUAAAGCUCUGUUGUUAAGGAAGAACGAGUGUGAGAAUGGAAAGUUCAUGCUGUGACGGUACUUAACCAGAAAGGGACGGCUAACUACGUGCCAGCAGCCGCGGUAAUACGUAGGUCCCGAGCGUUGUCCGGAUUUAUUGGGCGUAAAGCGAGCGCAGGCGGUUAGAAAAGUCUGAAGUGAAAGGCAGUGGCUCAACCAUUGUAGGCUUUGGAAACUGUUUAAAUUGAGUGCAGAAGGGGAGAGUGGAAUUCCAUGUGUAGCGGUGAAAUGCGUAGAUAUAUGGAGGAACACCGGUGGCGAAAGCGGCUCUCUGGUCUGUAACUGACGCUGAGGAUCGAAAGCGUGGGGAGCGAACAGG
Molecule: ribosomal RNA, 429 nt
Filed under: Bacteroidota bacterium
Lineage: Bacteria; Pseudomonadati; Bacteroidota
Description: Bacteroidetes bacterium partial 16S ribosomal RNA
Rfam family: Bacterial small subunit ribosomal RNA
Source: RNAcentral